This 253-nucleotide ribosomal RNA is filed under the name uncultured bacterium. Its description in RNAcentral is "partial 16S ribosomal RNA". It matches the Rfam family "Bacterial small subunit ribosomal RNA", at positions 524 to 776 of the family's 1533-position model. The record is from RNAcentral.
UACAGAGGUCUCAAGCGUUGUUCGGAUUCAUUGGGCGUAAAGGGUGCGUAGGUGGCUGGGCAAGUCUGGUGUGAAAUCCCGGGGCUCAACCCCGGAACUGCACUGGAUACUGCCUUGCUAGAGCACUGGAGAGGGAACUGGAAUUUACGGUGUAGCAGUGAAAUGCGUAGAUAUCGUAAGGAAGACCAGUGGCGAAGGCGAGUUCCUGGACAGUUGCUGACACUGAGGCACGAAGGCUAGGGGAGCAAACGGG